This 468-nucleotide ribosomal RNA is filed under the name uncultured bacterium. RNAcentral describes it as "partial 16S ribosomal RNA". It matches the Rfam family "Bacterial small subunit ribosomal RNA", at positions 28 to 507 of the family's 1533-position model. The record is from RNAcentral.
GACGAACGCUGGCGGCGUGCUUAACACAUGCAAGUCGAACGGAAAGGCCCUGCUUUUGUGGGGUGCUCGAGUGGCGAACGGGUGAGUAACACGUGAGUAACCUGCCCUUGACUUUGGGAUAACUUCAGGAAACUGGGGCUAAUACCGGAUAGGAGCUCCUGCUGCAUGGUGGGGGUUGGAAAGUUUCGGCGGUUGGGGAUGGACUCGCGGCUUAUCAGCUUGUUGGUGGGGUAGUGGCUUACCAAGGCUUUGACGGGUAGCCGGCCUGAGAGGGUGACCGGCCACAUUGAGACUGAGAUACGGCCCAGACUCCUACGGGAGGCAGCAGUGGGGAAUAUUGCACAAUGGGCGGAAGCCUGAUGCAGCAACGCCGCGUGCGGGAUGACGGCCUUCGGGUUGUAAACCGCUUUCGCCUGUGACGAAGCGUGAGUGACGGUAACGGGUAAAGAAGCACCGGCUAACUACGUG